This 506-nucleotide ribosomal RNA is filed under the name uncultured bacterium. RNAcentral describes it as "partial 16S ribosomal RNA". It matches the Rfam family "Bacterial small subunit ribosomal RNA", at positions 29 to 523 of the family's 1533-position model. The record is from RNAcentral.
AGUGAACGCUGGCGGUAGGCCUAACACAUGCAAGUCGAACGGCAGCACAGAGGAGCUUGCUCCUUGGGUGGCGAGUGGCGGACGGGUGAGGAAUACAUCGGAAUCUACUCUGUCGUGGGGGAUAACGUAGGGAAACUUACGCUAAUACCGCAUACGACCUACGGGUGAAAGCAGGGGAUCUUCGGACCUUGCGCGAUUGAAUGAGCCGGUGUCGGAUUAGCUAGUUGGCGGGGUAAAGGCCCACCGAGGCGACGAUCCGUGGCUGGUCUGAGAGGAUGAUCAGCCACACUGGAACUGAGACACGGUCCAGACUCCUACGGGAGGCAGCAGUGGGGAAUAUUGGACAAUGGGCGCAAGCCUGAUCCAGCCAUACCGCGAGGGUGAAGAAGGCCUUCGGGUUGUAAAGCCCUUUUGUUGGGAAAGAAAUCCAUCUGGUUAAUACCCGGGUGGGAUGACGGUACCCAAAGAAUAAGCACCGGCUAACUUCGUGCCAGCCGCCGCCGUAA